CGGUAGCUAAUACCGGAUAAUUUCUUUCCUCUCCUGAAGAGAGAAUGAAAGGCGGAGCAAUCUGCCACUUGGGGAUGGGCCUGCGGCGCAUUAGCUAGUUGGUGGGGUAACGGCUCACCAAGGCGACGAUGCGUAGCCGACCUGAGAGGGUGAACGGCCACACUGGGACUGAGACACGGCCCAGACUCCUACGGGAGGCAGCAGUAGGGAAUCUUCCGCAAUGGGCGAAAGCCUGACGGAGCAAUGCCGCGUGAGUGAUGAAGGUUUUCGGAUCGUAAAGCUCUGUUGCCAGGGAAGAACGUCCGGUAGAGUAACUGCUACCGGAGUGACGGUACCUGAGAAGAAAGCCCCGGCUAACUACGUGCCAGCAGCCGCGGUAAUACGUAGGGGGCAAGCGUUGUCCGGAAUUAUUGGGCGUAAAGCGCGCGCAGGCGGUCAUUUAAGUCUGGUGUUUAAACCUUGGGCUCAACCUGGGGUCGCACUGGAAACUGGGUGACUUGAGUACAGAAGAGGAAAGUGGAAUUCCACGUGUAGCGGUGAAAUGCGUAGAUAUGUGGAGGAACACCAGUGGCGAAGGCGACUUUCUGGGCUGUAACUGACGCUGAGGCGCGAAAGCGUGGGGAGCAAACAGGAUUAGAUACCCUGGUAGUCCACGCCGUAAACGAUGAGUGCUAGGUGUUAGGGGUUUCGAUACCCUUGGUGCCGAAGUUAACACAGUAAGCACUCCGCCUGGGGAGUACGGUCGCAAGACUGAAACUCAAAGGAAUUGACGGGGACCCGCACAAGCAGUGGAGUAUGUGGUUUAAUUCGAAGCAACGCGAAGAACCUUACCAGGUCUUGACAUCCCGAUGAAAGCAUUAGAGAUAGUGCCCCUCUUCGGAGCAUCGGAGACAGGUGGUGCAUGGUUGUCGUCAGCUCGUGUCGUGAGAUGUUGGGUUAAGUCCCGCAACGAGCGCAACCCUUGACUUUAGUUGCCAGCAGGUAAGGCUGGGCACUCUAGAGUGACUGCCGGUGACAAACCGGAGGAAGGUGGGGAUGACGUCAAAUCAUCAUGCCCCUUAUGACCUGGGCUACACACGUACUACAAUGGCCGGUACAACGGGAAGCGAAACCGCGAGGUGGAGCCAAUCCCAGCAAAGCCGGUCUCAGUUCGGAUUGCAGGCUGCAACUCGCCUGCAUGAAGUCGGAAUUGCUAGUAAUCGCGGAUCAGCA
RNAcentral lists this ribosomal RNA (1212 nucleotides) under Paenibacillus tritici. Its description in RNAcentral is "bacterial SSU rRNA". It matches the Rfam family "Bacterial small subunit ribosomal RNA", at positions 157 to 1354 of the family's 1533-position model. The record is from RNAcentral. Lineage: Bacteria; Bacillati; Bacillota; Bacilli; Caryophanales; Paenibacillaceae.